Small nuclear RNA from Ailuropoda melanoleuca (giant panda), 122 nucleotides. Its record names the gene U4. It matches the Rfam family "U4 spliceosomal RNA". Rfam says of the family: U4 small nuclear RNA (U4 snRNA) is a component of the major U2-dependent spliceosome. The structure of U4 snRNA from yeast and human has been reported. The record is from Ensembl. NCBI's taxonomy places the organism in Eukaryota, Metazoa, Chordata, Mammalia, Carnivora, Ursidae.
AGCUUUGUGCGGUACCAGCAUCAUAGCCAAUGACGUUUAUCCGAGGCAUAAUUAUUGCUAAUUGAAAACUGUUCCCAACUGGGUCUUCCAGGAUGGCAUACCCUUGGCACUGAAGAGGCUCA